AGAGUUUGAUCAUGGCUCAGGACGAACGCUGGCGGCGUGCUUAAUACAUGCAAGUCGAGCGAGGUUACUGUUUUGGAUCCCUUCGGGGUGAAGAAGCUUUAACCUAGCGGCGGACGGGUGAGUAACGCGUGGGUAACCUACCCCAAAGUCCGGGAUAACAGCGGGAAACCGCUGCUAAUACCGGAUGCCUUUACCUUGGGGCAUCUUGAGGUAAAGAAAGGUAACGCUUUGGGAUGGGCCCGCGUCCCAUUAGCUAGUUGGUGAGGUAACGGCUCACCAAGGCGACGAUGGGUAGCCGGCCUGAGAGGGUGGACGGCCACACUGGGACUGAGACACGGCCCAGACUCCUACGGGAGGCAGCAGUAGGGAAUAUUGCGCAAUGGACGGAAGUCUGACGCAGCGACGCCGCGUGAGCGAUGAAGGUCUUCGGAUCGUAAAGCUCUGUCCUUGGGGAAGAAGG
Molecule: ribosomal RNA, 460 nt
Filed under: uncultured bacterium
Lineage: Bacteria
Description: bacterial SSU rRNA
Rfam family: Bacterial small subunit ribosomal RNA
Source: RNAcentral